Long non-coding RNA from Hyla sarda, 664 nucleotides. RefSeq lists it as uncharacterized. The transcript has 5 exons. The record is from RefSeq and is a predicted model, not a curated record. Lineage: Eukaryota; Metazoa; Chordata; Amphibia; Anura; Hylidae.
UUUAGGAUGCGCACAUUGUGCACUCCUCCUGCUUCCCGGAUGAGACCUCGUGCUGAGCCAUUAUAUCUGACACUCGGCAUCGCCGGCGUCAACAUCUGGAGAUAAGGCUUCCUCUAUCCUCCUAAACUCAUCGCUCACUCUGAAAAACUGCUACAAGUCUUCUGGGAGCUCACUGAGGAGAUACAGUUACAGCUGCCCAUAGAAGUCUAGGAAAAGGGGAGGGGAAGUAAGCUGCAGAGUGAGAUUCACAAAGAAGGUCUGAUGUCUUCAUAGCAGUAGAGUGGUCAGAGCCAGUCCUGGUUGUCACUUAUUUGCCCCCUAUCCUCUUCUUUAUAGGACAGAUCAUCAGGAAGAUCUAAUAGGUUAUUCCUGAAUCAUCAUCCCAUAAGGAAUACACCCCAGGGUGCUAGUGGUUGGCUCCAAAGUCACCUUGAGCAGAAAGCAGAUCAGGAGCCUUCUUGAUAAUACUUCAUCUUGCAAGGAUCCCGCAGUCCAAGAAAAACACGACUGAAGCUAAGAAAACUGGAGGAACAAGCAUUGUGUGAGCUGGUAACAUUGUUAAAUAGGAUCGAUGACCAGAGGCAUCUAAUAACCACUAGGUGUCGCCAUAGCUCUGCAACUGUUUAGCACUUUUUAUGGUCUUGCUCUGUUAUAGACUAUCUGG